This 546-nucleotide long non-coding RNA is filed under the name Mytilus galloprovincialis (Mediterranean mussel). The record is from RNAcentral. Lineage: Eukaryota; Metazoa; Mollusca; Bivalvia; Mytilida; Mytilidae.
UUAUUCCUUGUACAUUGAAAUUUGUGGUUCCUAGGUUAUCGUGAAAUCCAAGAAAAUUGGUAUCCAACAGAUAAUGAAGUAGGCUAUUUAUACUGCAACUAAAUGUGUUUAUUUCCUUAAUAUAGUAACACAGCUAUAGUUUGUGCAAUGUCAAUUUUCUCAUGGAUCACUUUUUCUGCAAUCAGAGGUUCAUUCAGGGAUGAUACUAAGUUUGAAAUUAAAUUUACAAUCUAGAUAGCUGUCAAUGUAUUAAUUUAAGUUUCAGUAUAGAAACAAUAUUAGGUAAAUGUCAGAAAAAUUUUAACUUUUUUGUAUACGGCACAAAACUGGGGCAGUUUCUCAGUCUCAUACAAAAAAGUUUAUAUUUUUUGACGACAUUGACCUUAUAUUGUAUAUUUAUUACUUUUCAUGAUAUUGCACAAAUAAUAAGAACUUUAUAAUCUUUUUUUAAAUCACUAUCUUUUUAUAGUCUUUUUCAAUGUCUCUAAUCUCCUUGAUUUUUUGUAAUUUUAUUGAUGUAGAUUAUGAUUUAUAUUAUGCUUCAGG